This 148-nucleotide non-coding RNA is filed under the name Homo sapiens (human). Lineage: Eukaryota; Metazoa; Chordata; Mammalia; Primates; Hominidae. The record is from Rfam by way of RNAcentral.
GCUGGGUGUGGCGGUGCACGCCUGUAGUCCCAGCUACUUGGGAGGCUGAGGCAGGAGAAUUGCUUGAACCCGGGAGGCGGAGGCUGCAGUGAGCCAAGAUCACGCCACUGCACUCCAGCCUGGGUGACAGAGCGAGACUCUGUUUCAA